RNAcentral lists this ribosomal RNA (962 nucleotides) under Pseudomonas sp. Its description in RNAcentral is "bacterial SSU rRNA". It matches the Rfam family "Bacterial small subunit ribosomal RNA", at positions 94 to 1061 of the family's 1533-position model. The record is from RNAcentral. Lineage: Bacteria; Pseudomonadati; Pseudomonadota; Gammaproteobacteria; Pseudomonadales; Pseudomonadaceae.
AGCGGCGGACGGGUGAGUAAUGCCUAGGAAUCUGCCUGGUAGUGGGGGACAACGUUUCGAAAGGAACGCUAAUACCGCAUACGUCCUACGGGAGAAAGUGGGGGAUCUUCGGACCUCACGCUAUCAGAUGAGCCUAGGUCGGAUUAGCUAGUAGGUGAGGUAACGGCUCACCUAGGCGACGAUCCGUAACUGGUCUGAGAGGAUGAUCAGUCACACUGGAACUGAGACACGGUCCAGACUCCUACGGGAGGCAGCAGUGGGGAAUAUUGGACAAUGGGCGAAAGCCUGAUCCAGCCAUGCCGCGUGUGUGAAGAAGGUCUUCGGAUUGUAAAGCACUUUAAGUUGGGAGGAAGGGCAGUAAGUUAAUACCUUGCUGUUUUGACGUUACCAACAGAAUAAGCACCGGCUAACUUCGUGCCAGCAGCCGCGGUAAUACGAAGGGUGCAAGCGUUAAUCGGAAUUACUGGGCGUAAAGCGCGCGUAGGUGGUUUGGUAAGAUGGAUGUGAAAUCCCCGGGCUCAACCUGGGAACUGCAUCCAUAACUGCCUGACUAGAGUACGGUAGAGGGUGGUGGAAUUUCCUGUGUAGCGGUGAAAUGCGUACAUAUAGGAAGGAACACCACUGGCGAAAGCGACCACCUGGACUGAUACUGACACUGAGGUGCGAAAGCGUGGGGGAGCACACACGAUUAUAUACCCUGGUAGUCCACGCCGUAAACGAUGUCGACUACCCGCUGGAGUCCUUGAGAUUUUAGUGGCGCAGCUACGCGAUAAGUCGACCGCCUGGGCAGUACGGCCGCAAGUUAAAACUCAAAUGAAUUGACUGGGCCCGCCGCAAGCAGCGGAGCAUGUUGUUUUAUUUCUAACAACACGAACACCUAACCUGUCCUGGACAUGUCCGAAUCAUGCAAGAUGCAUAUGCUCGGCAUCGGAACACAAGAUACUGCAUGCUGUCAUCAGCUC